CACGGGGGGGGCAAGCGUUGUUCGGAAUUACUGGGCGUAAAGGGCGCGUAGGCGGUGCGGUAAGUCACCUGUGAAACCUCCGGGCUUAACUCGGAGCCUGCAGGCGAAACUGCCGUGCUGGAGUGUGGGAGGGGUGCGUGGAGUUCCCGGUGUAGCGGUGAAAUGCGUAGAUAUCGGGAGGAACACCUGUGGCGAAAGCGGCGCACUGGACCAUAACUGACGCUGAGGCGCGAAAGCUAGGGGAGCAAACAGG
This 253-nucleotide ribosomal RNA is filed under the name uncultured bacterium. RNAcentral describes it as "partial 16S ribosomal RNA". It matches the Rfam family "Bacterial small subunit ribosomal RNA", at positions 524 to 776 of the family's 1533-position model. The record is from RNAcentral.